RNAcentral lists this unclassified non-coding RNA (314 nucleotides) under uncultured fungus. RNAcentral's name for it is "sequence contains ITS1, 5.8S rRNA gene". The stretch from base 266 to 314 matches the Rfam family "5.8S ribosomal RNA", at positions 1 to 49 of the family's 154-position model. Lineage: Eukaryota; Fungi. The record is from RNAcentral.
UUUCCGUAGGUGAACCUGCGGAAGGAUCAUUAUUGAAUAACUUGGUGUUGAUGCUGGCUCCUCUGGGGCAUGUGCUCGCAUCAUAUUAUUUAUCUAUCUCUUGUGCACCUUUUGUAGUCUUGAACGAACCUCUCGCAGUCAAUGCGGUUUGGGAGCCUGGGCGCGAGCCCUUCUCCUGCUUCUUCAAGGCUAUGUUUUCAUAUACACUAUAAAGUUACAGAAUGUCUUUUAACGAUUGCGCUUGUCGUAGUCAUUAAACCUAUACAACUUUCAGCAACGGAUCUCUUGGCUCUCCCAUCGAUGAAGAACGCAGC